This 253-nucleotide ribosomal RNA is filed under the name uncultured bacterium. RNAcentral's name for it is "partial 16S ribosomal RNA". It matches the Rfam family "Bacterial small subunit ribosomal RNA", at positions 524 to 776 of the family's 1533-position model. The record is from RNAcentral.
UACGGAGGGGGCUAGCGUUGUUCGGAAUUACUGGGCGUAAAGCGCACGUAGGCGGCUUUGUAAGUUAGAGGUGAAAGCCCGGGGCUCAACUCCGGAAUUGCCUUUAAGACUGCAUCGCUAGAAUUGUGGAGAGGUAAGUGGAAUUCCGAGUGUAGAGGUGAAAUUCGUAGAUAUGUGGAGGAACACCGAUGGCGAAGGCAGCCCCCUGGGUCAAGACUGACGCUCAUGCACGAAAGCGUGGGGAGCAAACAGG